RNAcentral lists this ribosomal RNA (441 nucleotides) under uncultured bacterium. RNAcentral describes it as "partial 16S ribosomal RNA". It matches the Rfam family "Bacterial small subunit ribosomal RNA", at positions 338 to 795 of the family's 1533-position model. The record is from RNAcentral.
ACUACGGGAGGCAGCAGUGGGGGAUAUUGCACAAUGGGGGCAACCCUGAUGCAGCGACGCCGCGUGAGCGAUGGAGUACUUCGGUAUGUAAAGCUCUGUCAGCAGGGAAGAGAAUGACGGUACCUGACCAAGAAGCCCCGGCUAAAUACGUGCCAGCAGCCGCGGUAAUACGUAUGGGGCAAGCGUUAUCCGGAUUUACUGGGCGUAAAGGGAGCGUAGGCGGCAGGGCAAGCCUGAUGUGAAAGCCCGGGGCUCAACCCCGGGACUGCAUUGGGAACUGAGCCGCUCGAGUGCCGGAGGGGGAGGCGGAAUUGCUAGUGUAGCGGUGAAAUGCGUAGAUAUUAGGAGGAACACCAGUGGCGAAGGCGGCCUGCUGGACGGUGUACUGACGCUGAGGCUCGAAAGCGUGGGGAGCAAACAGGAUUAGAUACCCCAGUAGUC